GGUGUAGACGGUUUUUUAAGUCGGGUGUGAAAUCUCCUAACUCAAUUAGGAGAGGUCAUUCGAUACUGGGAGACUUGAGGGCAGCAGAGGAAGGCGGAACUCCCGGUGUAGCGGUGAUAUGCGUAGAUAUCGGGAGGAACACCAGUGGCGAAGGCGGCCUUCUAGGCUGUUCCUGACGUUGAGGCCCAAAAGCGUGGGGAGCAAACA
RNAcentral lists this ribosomal RNA (207 nucleotides) under uncultured bacterium. RNAcentral describes it as "partial 16S ribosomal RNA". It matches the Rfam family "Bacterial small subunit ribosomal RNA", at positions 568 to 774 of the family's 1533-position model. The record is from RNAcentral.